Molecule: long non-coding RNA, 1127 nt
Organism: Cydia fagiglandana
Lineage: Eukaryota; Metazoa; Arthropoda; Insecta; Lepidoptera; Tortricidae
Exons: 2
Source: RefSeq, a predicted model, not a curated record
AAGCACACGUAUCGCGAAUUUAAUUAAAAUGACAGUUGAUUUUGGCAUUUAUUUCGACAUUAAGUCAUAUACAUAUACGAAAAAGUAUACCAGUAGACAAAUAGUAUUUAAAAAAACAGGGUAAAUAAUUAUCAUCACAUGGAGCUCGAGUCUCAUCUUAGAUUUGAUUUGUUGGGGCAUAAUGGUUGAAAAACGCAGUAAACUAUCUUAAAACAAUACGAUUCCAAUAUCAUUUAAGUAAUUUGCUCCUUGAAACCCGGCUUAGAAUGAAAAAAGUUUGAAGACUCAUACUUAUUGAUUGGAAUUAAUUUUCAUUAUGCUGGUAUUAAUAUUGCAUACCUAUUUGACGUACUUUUGUACGUCAACGUCAAUGAACUGUGAUGACAAUGUUGUGAUCUUGUAUUUAUGCUAGAGAACUUUUGAUCUUCAAAUAUUACCUAUUAAUACGGAACAUUAUGUAAAUAUUUCGUGUACUACUUGAAAAUCGUGCAGUGGUACACCUAUUUUGUUGCUGUGAGGUCCGUCUAAGAUAGAUGUAUAAUGCGGUUACGUGCUGUUCUGCAAACCUUCAUGAAAUCAAGAAUAAAUAAACGGCUAUGGUCUAGCCUCAGCGAGUUUUUGCGGCUUGUGAGGCCGAGAUAUACAUUAUACAUACUGGCCUACGAGGCUUACAGCCCAAAACCACUGCGGUGCCUGGUUUGUGAUUGCCUAUGUAUCGAGUGUUAUACUAAUUUACUAUAAAAUAAAACAAAGUUUUUCGUUCAAUGAUAUUCUGUGCAUAUUUAAUUUUAUACCUCGUCGAUGACAAACAAGCAUACGGCCCGUCUGAUGAUAAGCAAUCUUCGUAGCCUUUGGAUGCCUGCAACUCCAUGCGCGUUGCCGAGUCUAACACUCCGCACCCCUCGUUGAUAACUGGCAACCAUACUCACCGGCAGGAAGGACACUAUGAGUAGGGACUAGUGUUAUUUGGCUACGGUUUUCUGUAAGGUGGAGGUACUUCCCCAGUUGGGCUCUGCUCUAGACCUGGAAUGACAUCCGCUGUGCUGUGCUCUACCACACAAAGCAAGAUGACAUUCACAGUGCCCAUACCUCUCUUUUGAACGUAGUUUACGAACGUACCCGCGUCC